GUAGGGAAUAUUGGGCAAUGGAGGCAACUCUGACCCAGCCAUGCCGCGUGCAGGAUGACGGCCCUCUGGGUUGUAAACUGCUUUUAUACGGGAAGAAAAAAUACUACGUGUAGUAUACUGACGGUACCGUAAGAAUAAGGAUCGGCUAACUCCGUGCCAGCAACCGCGGUAAUACGGAGGAUCCAAGCGUUGUCCGGAUUUAUUGGGUUUAAAGGGUGCGUAGGCUGAUCUUUAAGUCAGUUGUGAAAGCCUGCAGCUUAACUGUAGAAUUGCCAUUGAAACUGAAGAUCUUGAAUGUGGUUAAAGUAGGCGGAAUGUAUCAUGUAGCGGUGAAAUGCUUAGAUAUGAUACAGAACACCGAUAGCGAAGGCAGCUUGCUGAACCAUUAUUGACGCUGAGGCACGAAAGCGUGGGGAGCGAACAGGAUUAGAAACCCGGGUAGUCC
Molecule: ribosomal RNA, 445 nt
Filed under: uncultured bacterium
Lineage: Bacteria
Description: partial 16S ribosomal RNA
Rfam family: Bacterial small subunit ribosomal RNA
Source: RNAcentral